RNAcentral lists this ribosomal RNA (290 nucleotides) under uncultured Porphyromonadaceae bacterium. RNAcentral describes it as "partial 16S ribosomal RNA". It matches the Rfam family "Bacterial small subunit ribosomal RNA", at positions 84 to 374 of the family's 1533-position model. Lineage: Bacteria; Pseudomonadati; Bacteroidota; Bacteroidia; Bacteroidales; Porphyromonadaceae. The record is from RNAcentral.
UCUGGUGGCGACCGGCGCACGGGUGAGUAACACGUAUGCAACCUACCUGUAAGAGGGGAAUAACCCGGAGAAAUUCGGACUAAUACCGCAUAAUACCUUUAAGCUGCAUGGCUUAAAGGUUAAACAUUUAUGGCUUACAGAUGGGCAUGCGUAACAUUAGAUAGUUGGUGAGGUAACGGCUCACCAAGUCAACGAUGUUUAGGGGUUCUGAGAGGAAGGUCCCCCACACUGGUACUGAGACACGGACCAGACUCCUACGGAAGGCAGCAGUGAGGAAUAUUGGUCAAUGG